This 273-nucleotide small RNA is filed under the name Pongo abelii (Sumatran orangutan). RNAcentral's name for it is "processed transcript". Lineage: Eukaryota; Metazoa; Chordata; Mammalia; Primates; Hominidae. The record is from RNAcentral.
CCUAGCGCUGUGAAGGAUUCUGUUCUCUGACUUUGGGAGGGCCAGUGCAGAAGAAUCAAGACAGAAUAUGCUCCAAUGUGGGCCAGGCUGUGAAUUCUUUGAAAGAAGCUGCAGAGAAGCAAGAAAGAUUAUCCUAAGACUUCUGGAGGAAGAAUUAGGAUCCUUCUGCAGGAACUCAGUUUACUGUGAAUUGAAGGUAUACCCGAAAUCUUGUGGAUCAAGGAAAUGGAAAAUUUAAUUUGAUGAUUCUCUGUUGGGGUGAAGGACAUGGCA